AUUGAGGUUGGGGAGUAUGGAGAGGUCCUGUCAGAUGAUGCUGUGCGUGCUCUCAAAUUGUUGGACGAACCAGUGGUGGCUGACGCCGCGUGCUGCCUCAUGUCAGUGCACACUGCUGAGGGCACAGAAGCGGCAGAAACCAUCAGGCUUCGUGCUGCUGUGGGCGGACAGACCAUGUUAUUGCUCGUAGACUCCGACAGUACAUACCGUUUCGUCAGCACAACCUUUGCAGAACGUGUUCAAGCUCCGACAACCAAGAUUCUGGCAGUGGCUGUUCGCGUCGCCAACGGCCAACGGUUAACCUGCACAGCCAUGGCACCCCAGCUCCGUUGGACCAUACAGGGUCAUGAAUUUGCCACCGAUAUGCGUCUGUUGGAGUUGGGCGUGUAUGAUGCUGUCGUGGGAGUUGACUGGCUUGCUCAGCAUAGCCCAAUGAAGUGUGAUUGGAAUCUGAAAUCGAUGGAAUUCUUCAAGGAGGGAGCCACGGUACAGCUGUUCGGCGUGCGCACGGAGGAGCAGCCUACACUAGCCGCAAUGGAUGCUGCUAUGAUUUGGUAAUUGCAGGAGGCAAACGAAAUCUAGGGCGCGGCUUUGUUGGAGAUUCAGGCCCCCUCAUCAACCCAAGAGGAACCAAUUCCCCCGAUAAUCCAACCGGUACUGACAGACUUUCGUGAUGUCUUUGAGGAGCCAAUCUCAUUACCUCCUCGUCGACAGUACGAUCACGCCAUCACCCUGGAACCGGGAACAACAACAAUCAACUGCAGACCAUACAGGUACUCGCCACUUCAAAAAGAUGAAAUC
RNAcentral lists this ribosomal RNA (801 nucleotides) under Triticum aestivum (bread wheat). Its description in RNAcentral is "partial small subunit ribosomal RNA". The record is from RNAcentral. Lineage: Eukaryota; Viridiplantae; Streptophyta; Magnoliopsida; Poales; Poaceae.